CCUACGGGAGGCUGCAGUGAGGAAUAUUGGUCAAUGGACGAGAGUCUGAACCAGCCAAGUAGCGUGAAGGAUGACUGCCCUAUGGGUUGUAAACUUCUUUUAUAUGGGAAUAAAACGUUCCACGUGUGGGAUUUUGUAUGUACCAUAUGAAUACGGAUCGGCUAACUCCGUGCCAGCAGCCGCGGUAAUACGGGGGAUCCGAGCGUUAUCCGGAUUUAUUGGGUUUAAAGGGAGCGUAGGUGGAUUGUUAAGUCAGUUGUGAAAGUUUGCGGCUCAACCGUAAAAUUGCAGUUGAAAAUGGCAGUCUUGAGUACAGGAGAGGUGGGUGGAAUUCGUGGUGUAGCGGUGAAAUGCUUAGAUAUCACGAAGAACUCCGAUUGCGAAGGCAGUUCACUGGAAUUCAACUGACACUGAGGCUCGAAAGUGUGGGUAUCAAACAGGAUUAGAUACCCUUGUAGUC
This 460-nucleotide ribosomal RNA is filed under the name uncultured bacterium. Its description in RNAcentral is "partial 16S ribosomal RNA". It matches the Rfam family "Bacterial small subunit ribosomal RNA", at positions 338 to 795 of the family's 1533-position model. The record is from RNAcentral.